AGUCGUCCCUUCCCUCUCCUCACCUCCUUUCUCUUCAAAUUUUCCUUUCUUUUUCUCUUGUUGCCGCUGCCCAAACAACCUUGAACCACCAUCUCUUUUUAUUUUCUUUUGCCACAAGAUAUUGCAUCAUUCUCCCCUCUUUCUUGGUGCCAUUUUCCCUUAAUUUUUCAGCCUCAAAUAUGAAAUCUUGGACCUCCAAGAAUGAUCUUCAUUGUUGCCAAGAAGUUUCAUUGCCGCCCAUUUCUUCUAGCUUGUGUUCAUUUUAAAUUUUUAAAGAGAAAUCGUGAUAUUUGCAAGUGUGCUACAGUAAAGCGUAAAAUAAGGUUCAUUUCGAGCCCUAAUUGUUUGGCAUGUUAUCAAAGAUGUGAGAUUGACUGAAUGAGUGUAUGAUUGAUUUUGUUGUGGAUGACUAGUUAAUAUUAUGUAUGUUGGUUGUAUGUAUAGCAUGUUUUCGAAUGAGAAUGAGGCAUAUGCAUGAUAUAUUUGUAUGAAUGAUUUACUAUAAAAUGUUUGAAAAGCUACUAUACAUGCACUCAGAAAAGUAUUAUAAGUUUAUAUGACAUUGUGAUAUGUUGAACGACACCAUCUUAAUGGUGAAUUGAAAGUUGGAUAAAUGAUCCAAUUGACUGAAAGUAUAUGAAUGUAUAAGGGCAUGUUGAUCGCGCUACUGAAAUGAGAAAGAAUCAAAUUCAUGACUUUGUAUGAGAUUGUAUUACAUCUUGCAUACGCAUCGAGGUAGGUUUGAUAUUGUGGUUGACUGAGGACUUCCGUGGAGUAUUAACGGCAUAUUAAGUCUGCAUUUAUACGUAGUCAGUGCACUACACAGGGAGUAUUGUGGAGAAUGUAUAUUUUUAUCGCAUUUUAAAUGGCAUAAUUUCUACAACCAUGUUUAUACGGUGGUUUUACCAUAUCGAGCUUUGCUCGCAAUGUUGGAGUUUAGCAGACGAGUUCUGAGGAACUCGUGCUUUGUAGCAAAUAGUUGGGGUAGGAAUUUAUUUUGCAUUACGACAUGACAUGACUAAUUAUAAUAUUAUUAUUGAUGUUUUGAUUGUGAUA
Gossypium arboreum is the source of this 1056-nucleotide long non-coding RNA. RefSeq lists it as uncharacterized. NCBI's taxonomy places the organism in Eukaryota, Viridiplantae, Streptophyta, Magnoliopsida, Malvales, Malvaceae. The record is from RefSeq and is a predicted model, not a curated record. The transcript is spliced from 3 exons.